UAACAAUGAUACCCUUAGUAGCGGCGAGCGAAGUGGGUAAAGCUCAAGUUUAAAACCUGUUUGUCCUAGACAAACCGGAUUGUAAACUAAGGACGUGCUAUCCAGGCUCUUUGGACCUUCAAGUCCUUUGGAAUAAGGCUUCACAGAGGGUGACAAUCCCGUAGAGGGUCUUGAAAGAGUCUAUUGCGAUGCAUGCUCCAAGAGUCAGGUUGUUUGGGAAUGCAGCCUAAAGUGGGAGGUAAAUCCCUCCUAAAGCUAAAUAUUGGCGAGAGACCGAUAGCAAACAAGUACCGUGAGGGAAAGUUGAAAAGGACUUUGAAAAGAGAGUCAAAAGUACGUGAAAUUGCUUAAAGGGAAGCGUUUGGAGCUAG
This 371-nucleotide ribosomal RNA is filed under the name Rhizomucor pusillus. RNAcentral's name for it is "eukaryotic LSU rRNA". It matches the Rfam family "Eukaryotic large subunit ribosomal RNA", at positions 66 to 432 of the family's 3401-position model. Lineage: Eukaryota; Fungi; Mucoromycota; Mucoromycetes; Mucorales; Lichtheimiaceae. The record is from RNAcentral.